RNAcentral lists this transfer RNA (72 nucleotides) under Ruminococcus sp. RNAcentral describes it as "tRNA-Arg". It matches the Rfam family "tRNA". From Rfam's summary of the family: Transfer RNA (tRNA) molecules are approximately 80 nucleotides in length. Their secondary structure includes four short double-helical elements and three loops (D, anti-codon, and T loops). The record is from RNAcentral. Lineage: Bacteria; Bacillati; Bacillota; Clostridia; Eubacteriales; Oscillospiraceae.
CCGCUUGUAGCUCAGUGGAUAGAGCGUUACGCUCCGACCGUAUAUGCAUGGGUUCAAUUCCCAUCAAGCGGA